RNAcentral lists this ribosomal RNA (497 nucleotides) under uncultured bacterium. Its description in RNAcentral is "partial 16S ribosomal RNA". It matches the Rfam family "Bacterial small subunit ribosomal RNA", at positions 28 to 507 of the family's 1533-position model. The record is from RNAcentral.
GAUGAACGCUGGCGGCGUGCCUAAUACAUGCAAGUCGAGCGAACAGACGAGGAGCUUGCUCCUCUGACGUUAGCGGCGGACGGGUGAGUAACACGUGGAUAACCUACCUAUAAGACUGGGAUAACUUCGUGAAACCGGAGCUAAUACCGGAUAAUAUAUUGAACCGCAUGGUUCAAUAGUGAAAGACGGUUUUGCUGUCACUUAUAGAUGGAUCCGCGCCGCAUUAGCUAGUUUGUAAGGGAAUGGCUUACCAAGGCGACGAUGCGUAGCCGACCUGAGAGGGUGAUCGGCCACACUGGAACUGAGACACGGUCCAGACUCCUACGGGAGGCAGCAGUAGGGAAUCUUCCGCAAUGGGCGAAAGCCUGACGGAGCAACGCCGCGUGAGUGAUGAAGGUCUUCGGAUCGUAAAACUCUGUUAUUAGGGAAGAACAAAUGUGUAAGUAACUAUGCACGUCUUGACGGUACCUAAUCAGAAAGCCACGGCUAACUACGUG